GAUGAACGCUGGCGGCGUGCCUAAUACAUGCGAGUCGAGCGAACAGACGAGGAGCUUGCUCCUCUGGCGUUAGCGGCGGACGGGUGAGUAACACGUGGAUAACCUACCUAUAAGACUGGGAUAACUUCGGGAAACCGGAGCUAAUACCGGAUAAUAUAUUGAACCGCAUGGUUCAAUAGUGAAAGACGGUUUUGCUGUCACUUAUAGAUGGAUCCGCGCCGCAUUAGCUAGUUGGUAAGGUAACGGCUUACCAAGGCAACGAUGCGUAGCCGACCUGAGAGGGUGAUCGGCCACACUGGAACUGAGACACGGUCCAGACUCCUACGGGAGGCAGCAGUAGGGAAUCUUCCGCAAUGGGCGAAAGCCUGACGGAGCAACGCCGCGUGAGUGAUGAAGGUCUUCGGAUCGUAAAACUCUGUUAUUAGGGAAGAACAAAUGUGUAAGUAACUAUGCACGUCUUGACGGUACCUAAACAGAAAGCCACGGCUAACUACGUG
Molecule: ribosomal RNA, 497 nt
Filed under: uncultured bacterium
Lineage: Bacteria
Description: partial 16S ribosomal RNA
Rfam family: Bacterial small subunit ribosomal RNA
Source: RNAcentral